This 494-nucleotide ribosomal RNA is filed under the name uncultured bacterium. RNAcentral describes it as "partial 16S ribosomal RNA". It matches the Rfam family "Bacterial small subunit ribosomal RNA", at positions 28 to 507 of the family's 1533-position model. The record is from RNAcentral.
GACGAACGCUGGCGGCGUGCUUAACACAUGCAAGUCGAACGGAAAGGCCUGCUUUCCCUUGUGGAUUGCGGGUACUCGAGUGGCGAACGGGUGAGUAACACGUGAGUGAUCUGCCCCCAACUUGGGUAUAAGCCUGGGAAACUGGGUCUAAUUCCCGAUAGGCCUGCAGGGUGGUGCCUGUGGUGGAAAACGAUUUUCUAGUGGUUGGGGAUGAGCUCGCGGCCUAUCAGCUUGUUGGUGGGGUAAUGGCCUACCAAGGCGGCGACGGGUAGCCGGCCUGAGAGGGUGGACGGCCACAUUGGGACUGAGAUGCGGCCCAGGCUCCUACGGGAGGCAGCAGUGGGGAAUAGUGCACAAUGGGCGGAAGCCUGAAGCAGCGACGCCGCGUGGGGGAUGACGGCCUUCGGGUUGUAAACUCCUUUCGGCCGCGAGGAAGCCACCUGGUUGGAAUGGUGGUGACGGUAGUGGUAGAAGAAGCACCGGCUAACUACGUG